AUUGAACGCUGGCGGCGUGCUUAACACAUGCAAGUCGAACGAUUAAAGCCCCUUCGGGGGUGUAUAGAGUGGCGAACGGGUGAGUAUAAAUUGGGUAAUCUGCCUCAGACACCGGGAUAGCUCAUGGAAACGUGAAUUAAUACCGGAUACUCCGUUACUGUCGCAUGGCAGUUUCGGGAAAGCUUUUGCGGUCUGAGAUGAACCCAAUCCCUAUUAGGUAGUUGGUGAGGUAAUGGCCCACCAAGCCUGCGAUGGGUAGCCGAGCUGAGAGGCUGAGCGGCCACACUGGUACUGAGACACGGACCAGACUCCUACGGGAGGCAGCAGUGAGGAAUUUUCCGCAAUGGGCGCAAGCCUGACGGAGCAACGCCGCGUGGAGGAUGACGGUUUUCGGAUUGUAAACUCCUUUCAGUAGUGAUGAAAUUGACAGUAACUACAGAAGAAGCCCCGGCUAAAUACGUGCCAGCCGCCGCGGUAA
This 478-nucleotide ribosomal RNA is filed under the name uncultured bacterium. RNAcentral's name for it is "partial 16S ribosomal RNA". It matches the Rfam family "Bacterial small subunit ribosomal RNA", at positions 30 to 523 of the family's 1533-position model. The record is from RNAcentral.